Dermochelys coriacea (leatherback sea turtle) is the source of this 381-nucleotide long non-coding RNA. RefSeq lists it as uncharacterized. The record is from RefSeq and is a predicted model, not a curated record. The transcript has 2 exons. Lineage: Eukaryota; Metazoa; Chordata; Testudines; Dermochelyidae.
CCCGCUGGAAAUGGAUGCACUUGAUGACAAUUCCCUGCAUUGAUGCCACACCAUGCACCCUCUUUAAAUAUUGGCAUAUUUCUUCUACUCUUCUGGAACUUCACCUGCAUGCCAAGACUUACUGGAAAUCUGCAUUAAUGGUCCAGCGAGCUCUUCAGCCAGCUCUUGUAACACUCUUGGAUGCAAGUUACCUGGACCUGCUGAUUUAAAAAUAUCUAACUUUUUAGUAGCUUCUACUGAAUAUCCUCUAGAGAUAUUAGUGGAAUGGAAAGUGGUGUUGUCACCCUAUGACUGUCAUCUGUUUUCCUCCUAAAUACAGAAAAGAAAUAUUUAUUGAAAAUAGCUGCCUUUUUCUGCAUUAAAAUUGAUUAUUCUACUGUU